AUCUGGCUGUCGAGAUGCCUAAAAAGCAUUUCAUAGCAAGGGCCGGGCAAGACCGGUGCCAGCCGCCGCGGUAACACCGGCGGCUCGAGUGGUAACCGUUAUUAUUGGGUCUAAAGGGUCUGUAGCCGGCCGGAUAAGUCUCUUGAGAAAUCUGGCAGCUUAACUGUCAGGCUUUCAGGAGAUACUGUCUGGCUCGAGGCCGGGAGAGGUGAGAGGUACUUCAGGGGUAGGGGUGAAAUCUUGUAAUCCUUGAAGGACCACCAGUGGCGAAGGCGUCUCACCAGAACGGACCUGACGGCAAGGGACGAAAGCUAGGGGCACGAACCGGAUUAGAUACCCGGGUAGUCCUAGCCGUAAACGAUACUCGCUAGGUGUCGGCCACGGUGCGACCGUUGUCGGUGCCGUAG
Molecule: ribosomal RNA, 407 nt
Filed under: uncultured archaeon
Lineage: Archaea
Description: bacterial SSU rRNA
Rfam family: Archaeal small subunit ribosomal RNA
Source: RNAcentral